AUUGAACGCUGGCGGCAUGCUUUACACAUGCAAGUCGAACGGCAGCGCGGGCUUCGGCCUGGCGGCGAGUGGCGAACGGGUGAGUAAUGCAUCGGAACGUGCCCAGUAGUGGGGGAUAGCCCGGCGAAAGCCGGAUUAAUACCGCAUACGACCUGAGGGUGAAAGCGGGGGACCGAAAGGCCUCGCGCUAUUGGAGCGGCCGAUGUCGGAUUAGCUAGUUGGUGGGGUAAAGGCUUACCAAGGCGACGAUCCGUAGCUGGUCUGAGAGGACGACCAGCCACACUGGGACUGAGACACGGCCCAGACUCCUCCGGGAGGCAGCAGUGGGGAAUUUUGGACAAUGGGGGCAACCCUGAUCCAGCCAUGCCGCGUGCGGGAAGAAGGCCUUCGGGUUGUAAACCGCUUUUGUUCGGGAAGAAAUCCUCUGGGCUAAUACCCCGGGGGGAUGACGGUACCGGAAGAAUAAGCACCGGCUAACUACGUG
RNAcentral lists this ribosomal RNA (484 nucleotides) under uncultured bacterium. RNAcentral describes it as "partial 16S ribosomal RNA". It matches the Rfam family "Bacterial small subunit ribosomal RNA", at positions 28 to 507 of the family's 1533-position model. The record is from RNAcentral.